This 497-nucleotide ribosomal RNA is filed under the name uncultured bacterium. RNAcentral's name for it is "partial 16S ribosomal RNA". It matches the Rfam family "Bacterial small subunit ribosomal RNA", at positions 28 to 507 of the family's 1533-position model. The record is from RNAcentral.
GAUGAACGCUGGCGGCGUGCCUAAUACAUGCAAGUCGAGCGAACGGACGAGAAGCUUGCUUUUCUGAUGUUAGCGGCGGACGGGUGAGCAACACGUGGAUAACCUACCUAUAAGACUGGGAUAACUUCGGGAAACCGGAGCUAAUACCGGAUAAUAUUUUGAACCGCAUGGUUCAAAAGUGAAAGACGGUCUUGCUGUCACUUAUAGAUGGAUCCGCGCUGCAUUAGCUAGUUGGUAAGGUAACGGCUCACCAAGGCAACGAUGCAUAGCCGACCUGAGAGGGUGAUCGGCCACACUGGAACUGAGACACGGUCCAGACUCCUACGGGAGGCAGCAGUAGGGAAUCUUCCGCAAUGGGCGAAAGCCUGACGGAGCAACGCCGCGUGAGUGAUGAAGGUCUUCGGAUCGUAAAACUCUGUUAUUAGGGAAGAACAUAUGUGUAAGUAACUGUGCACAUCUUGACGGUACCUAAUCAGAAAGCCACGGCUAACUACGUG